CUGGUCUUGACAUACAGAGAACUUUCCAGAGAUGGAUUGGUGCCUUCGGGAACACUGAUACAGGUGCUGCAUGGCUGUCGUCAGCUCGUGUCGUGAGAUGUUGGGUUAAGUCCCGCAACGAGCGCAACCCUUUUCCUUAUUUGCCAGCACUUCGGGUGGGAACUUUAAGGAUACUGCCAGUGACAAACUGGAGGAAGGCGGGGACGACGUCAAGUCAUCAUGGCCCUUACGACCAGGGCUACACACGUGCUACAAUGGUCGGUACAAAGGGUUGCUACCUCGCGAGAGGAUGCUAAUCUCAAAAAGCCGAUCGUAGUCCGGAUUGGAGUCUGCAACUCGACUCCAUGAAGUCGGGAUCGCUAGUAAUCGCGGAUCAGAAUGCCGCGGUGAAUACGUUCCC
RNAcentral lists this ribosomal RNA (400 nucleotides) under uncultured bacterium. Its description in RNAcentral is "bacterial SSU rRNA". It matches the Rfam family "Bacterial small subunit ribosomal RNA", at positions 975 to 1375 of the family's 1533-position model. The record is from RNAcentral.